Molecule: ribosomal RNA, 830 nt
Filed under: metagenome
Description: bacterial SSU rRNA
Rfam family: Archaeal small subunit ribosomal RNA
Source: RNAcentral
UCUGGUUGAUCCUGCCAGAGGUUACUGCUAUCGAGGUUCGACUAAGCCAUGCGAGUCGAAUGUAGCAAUACAUGGCGUACUGCUCAGUAACACGUGGACAACCUACCCUCCGGACGGGUAUAAACCCGGGAAACUGGGUAUAAUCCCCGAUAGAUCUCGGUCGCUGGAAUGCCCCGAGAUCGAAAGCUCCGGCGCCAGAGGAUGGGUCUGCGGCCUAUCAGGUAGUAGUGGGUGUAGCGUACCUACUAGCCUACGACGGGUACGGGUUGUGAGAGCAAGAGCCCGGAGAUGGAUUCUGAGACACGAAUCCAGGCCCUACGGGGUGCAGCAGGCGCGAAAACUUUACAAUGCCGGCAACGGCGAUAAGGGGACCUCGAGUGCCAGGUUACAAAUCUGGCUGUCGUGAUGCCUAAAAAGCAUUGCAUAGCAAGGGCCGGGCAAGACCGGUGCCAGCCGCCGCGGUAACACCGGCGGCUCGAGUGGUAGCCGUUAUUAUUGGGUCUAAAGGGUCUGUAGCCGGCCGGAUAAGUCUCUUGAGAAAUCCAGCAGCUCAACUGUUGGGCUUUCAGGAGAUACUGUUCGGCUCGAGGCCGGGAGAGGUGAGAGGUACUUCAGGGGUAGGGGUGAAAUCUUGUAAUCCUUGAAGGACCACCAGUGGCGAAGGCGUCUCACCAGAACGGACCUGACGGCAAGGGACGAAAGCUAGGGGCACGAACCGGAUUAGAUACCCGGGUAGUCCUAGCCGUAAACGAUACUCGCUAGGUGUCGGCCACGGUGCGACCGUUGUCGGUGCCGUAGGGAAGCCGUGAAGCGAGCCACCUGGGAAGUGC